This 392-nucleotide ribosomal RNA is filed under the name uncultured bacterium. RNAcentral describes it as "partial 16S ribosomal RNA". It matches the Rfam family "Bacterial small subunit ribosomal RNA", at positions 523 to 918 of the family's 1533-position model. The record is from RNAcentral.
AUACGGAGGAUCCGAGCGUUAUGCGGAUUUAUUGGGUUUAAAGGGUGCGCAGGCGGCCAUUUAAGUCAGCGGUUAAAUCGUGGGGCUCAACCCCAUUCUGCCGUUGAUACUGGGUGGAUUGAUUGCGGUCGAGGUUGGCGGAAUUCGUUGUGUAGCGGUGAAAUGCAUAGAUAUGACGAAGAACACCGAUUGCGUAGGCAGCUGACCAGACCGCAAAUGACGCUCAUGCACGAAAGUGCGGGGAUCGAACAGGAUUAGAUACCCUGGUAGUCCGCACAGUAAACGAUGAAUACUUGUUUUCGGCGAUAUAAUGUCGGAGGCAAAGCGAAAGCGAUAAGUAUUCCACCUGGGGAGUACGCCGGCAACGGUGAAACUCAAAUGAAUUGACGGGG